RNAcentral lists this transfer RNA (81 nucleotides) under Bacteriophage sp. RNAcentral describes it as "tRNA-Leu". It matches the Rfam family "tRNA". Rfam says of the family: Transfer RNA (tRNA) molecules are approximately 80 nucleotides in length. The record is from RNAcentral.
GCUGAUAUGGUGGAAUGGCAGACACGAUAGAUUUAGGAUCUAUUGCUUAACAGCGUGCAGGUUCGACUCCUGUUAUCAGCA